RNAcentral lists this ribosomal RNA (497 nucleotides) under uncultured bacterium. RNAcentral's name for it is "partial 16S ribosomal RNA". It matches the Rfam family "Bacterial small subunit ribosomal RNA", at positions 28 to 507 of the family's 1533-position model. The record is from RNAcentral.
GAUGAACGCUGGCGGCGUGCCUAAUACAUGCAAGUCGAGCGAACAGACGAGGAGCUUGCUCCUCUGACGUUAGCGGCGGACGGGUGAGUAACACGUGGAUAACCUACCUAUAAGACUGGGAUAACUUCGGGAAACCGGAGCUAAUACCGGAUAAUAUAUUGAACCGCAUGGUUCAAUAGUGAAAUACGGUUUUGCUGUCACUUAUAGAUGGAUCCGCGCCGCAUUAGCUAGUUGGUAAGGUAACGGCUUACCAAGGCAACGAUGCGUAGCCGACCUGAGAGGGGGAUCGGCCACACUGGAACUGAGACACGGUCCAGACUCCUAAGGGAGGCAGCAGUAGGGAAUCGUCCGCAAUGGGCGAAAGCCUGACGGAGCAACGCCGCGUGAGUGAUGAAGGUCUUCGGAUCGUAAAACUCUGUUAUUAGGGAAGAACAAAUGUGUAAGUAACUAUGCACGUCUUGACGGUACCUAAUCAGAAAGCCACGGCUAACUACGUG